This 253-nucleotide ribosomal RNA is filed under the name uncultured bacterium. RNAcentral's name for it is "partial 16S ribosomal RNA". It matches the Rfam family "Bacterial small subunit ribosomal RNA", at positions 524 to 776 of the family's 1533-position model. The record is from RNAcentral.
UACAUGGGGUGCAAACGUUGCUCGGAAUUAUUGGGCGUAAAGCGCGCGUAGGCGGUUACUUAAGUCGGAUGUGAAAGCCCUCGGCUUAACUGAGGAAGUGCACCCGAAACUGAGUAGCUAGAGUACGAAAGAGGGUCGCGGAAUUCCCGGUGUAGAGGUGAAAUUCGCAGAUAUCAGGAGGAACACCGGUGGCGAAGGCGGAUCUCUGGGCCAUUACUGACGCUGAGGAGCGAAAGCGUGGGGAGCGAACAGG